Molecule: small RNA, 1425 nt
Filed under: Arabidopsis thaliana (thale cress)
Lineage: Eukaryota; Viridiplantae; Streptophyta; Magnoliopsida; Brassicales; Brassicaceae
Description: ATSL203230
Source: RNAcentral
UUUGUCAUCACUUUACAUAUUUAGGAUAGAUUUGCAUGCAUGUUGCAUAUUUGCGUUGAUUUCAGGUGAUUUGGAGUGUUGACGAGCAACUGGAAGAAGCGGGCCUGAUCAUGUCAAACCACUCGACCCCGAGGUCGAGUAGAAGCUUCAAGAUCUCAACAGAUCACUCGACCCCCUGGUCGAGUAGAGGACAUCACUACUUCACCACAUCACUCGACCCCGAGGUCGAGUGUCUUCAUCCCAUCACCUGACAAUCACUCGAUCACAUCACUCGACCCCAAGGCCGAGUGUCUUCACCUUCAUUGCCAGAACACUACUCGACCUCUUCACUCUACCUGGAAGUCGAGUAUCACCAUCACCACCACUCGACUGCAUACUCGAUGACAAGCUUCAGAGCCUUCUUCAUUCCGCACUCAACCAGACACUCGAGCACAAGGAAGAAAAGAAGACUCCAGCUAUUCACUCGACCACCCACUCGACCACAUGGGUCGAGUACAGUUCUUAAUCCGUCCCAAUACUGCGUCAUUUUAAGAAUUAGGGUUUCGGAAUAUUUGGCUAUAAGUAGCAUGUACUUCACAUUUUCGCAGACAUGUUUUUAUCUAGUUUUAUUCCGCAGACCUUGUGUUCUAGACCUUUUUGUAAUCCGGAUUUCUCUUUAUCUAUUCAGUAUUCAGUAUUCAGCUUUUGUUCUUGAUUUCGUUUACUGUUGUUCAUUCUGUUAUCAUCCUGCUGUUACACUGUUGUUAUCAUGUUUUCAACUUGUUCAACGUUUAUGCUUUCUGUUAUGAUGCUGAGUAGUGAAUAGGUUUCUGAGGAUGGGUAAUAGUAGUGUAGAAUUCUGAGUAUGCUAGGUGAUUGAGUAUUGGUUGAUAGAUCCCUUCUGGAUUAGUUAUUCUUAAUGCCUAUUGCUUUCUGAUUAAGUGGAAUUUGAGCCCAGACAUUUCUGCGCCCAAAAGGUGUUUGAUGAAAUGUCUGAACCACUAAUUCCAGAGAUUCGUGACCCUGUACCAAGGUAUUGGUUGCAGGGAGCGUUUUGGCUUUAACUUGUUGAUUCGUAAUGUCUGUUAGGUUAGCUCUCGUCAAUGGUGAUUGAGUCUGGGACUAGGUUAACUUGAGAGUCUCUGUUGCGGUGGCACUUAGAUUUGGUUAAUGAACUUGUUAUCUAGGGUUAAUUUAUUGAGCAUGCCAAUCACCUGUAAACUGAGGAAACGAAACUACUCAAUUACCCCAUCCUUGGGAAUUCUUUACCUGAUUGAAUUCUUUGUUUACUCUACUGUUGUUUACUGCAUCCUGUUAUCUGUCGCUUAAUUUCUGCAAUUCUUUCUUGUUACUCGACCUCGUACUCGACCACCCAGUUGUCUGGCAACAGACUGUACAGUCGAGUAUCUGUAUUUUAUUUUCUGUCUAUUACUCGACCUGUCACUC